UGGAUAAGGAUGAAGCGAUAAUACUAUAAUCCAACACUUGAUCUGAGACUUUUAUUGUCAAGUGAUGUUCGUGUAUUGACUUCUGAAUCUGC
This is a non-coding RNA of Jatropha curcas, 92 nucleotides long. NCBI's taxonomy places the organism in Eukaryota, Viridiplantae, Streptophyta, Magnoliopsida, Malpighiales, Euphorbiaceae. The record is from Rfam.